UCUGGUGGUUAUAGCGGAGGGGAAACACCCGUUCCCAUCCCGAACACGGAAGUUAAGCCCUCCAGCGCCGAUGGUACUGGGGGUCCGUCCCCCGGGAGAGUAGGUCGCUGCCAGAA
Thermanaeromonas toyohensis ToBE is the source of this 116-nucleotide ribosomal RNA. The record is from Rfam. NCBI's taxonomy places the organism in Bacteria, Bacillati, Bacillota, Clostridia, Neomoorellales, Neomoorellaceae.